Molecule: unclassified non-coding RNA, 329 nt
Filed under: soil metagenome
Description: partial contains 5.8S ribosomal RNA, internal transcribed spacer 2, and large subunit ribosomal RNA
Rfam family: 5.8S ribosomal RNA (bases 1-120)
Source: RNAcentral
GAUGAAGAACGCAGCGAAAUGCGAUAAGUAAUGUGAAUUGCAGAAUUCAGUGAAUCAUCGAAUCUUUGAACGCACAUUGCGCCCCUUGGUAUUCCGAGGGGCAUGCCUGUUCGGGCGUCAUUAUAGCCCCUCAAGCUCAGCUUGGUGUUGGGGCCUGCUGCACUGGCAGCCCUUAAAAUCAGUGGCGGCGCCAUCUGGCUCUAAGCGUAGUAAUUCUUCUCGCUAUGGAGUCCUGGUGGAUGCUUGCCAUCGACCCCCAAUUUUUCUAUGGUUGACCUCGGAUCAGGUAGGGAUACCCGCUGAACUUAAGCAUAUCAAUAAGCGGAGGA